CAUUAUCCUCUGAUCCCACUGAGGGCUACCAAAAGAAACUACACCAUCUGCUCAAGAAACUCCCUGAGAAAGCACAGAAACAGAUCUGUACAGACACAUGCCUAGAACCCCGACCAGGGACAUUCUAUUUGCUACCCAAGAUCCAUAAACCUGGAAAUCCUGGACGCCCCAUCAUCUCAGGCAUUGGCACCCUAAUAUCAAGCUUGUCUGGUUAUGUGGACUCUCUCCUCAGGCCCGACGCUACCAGCACUCCCAGCCAUCUUCGAGACACCACUGACUUCCUGAGGAAACUACAAUCCAUCUGUGAUCUUCCAGAAAACACCAUCCUGGCCACUAUGGAUGUAGAAGCCUUCUACAGCAACAUUCCACACAAUGAUGGACUACAAGCCAUCAGGAAUAAUAUCCCCAAUAAUAUCACGGGAAACCUGGUGGCUGAACUUUGUGACUUUGUCCUCACCCACAACUAUUUCACAUUUGGGGACAAUAUAUACCUUCAAGUCAGAGGCACUGCUAUGGGUACCCGCAUGGCCCCACAGUAUGCCAACAUUUUUAUGGCUGACUUAGAACAAUGCUUCCUUAGCUCUCGUCCCCUAAUGCCCCUACUCUACUUGUGCUAUAUUGAUGACAUCUUCAUCAUCUGGACCCAUGGAAAAGAAGCCCUUGAGGAAUUCCACCAUGAUUUUAACAAUUUCCAUCCCACCAUCAACCUCAGCCUAGACCAAUCCACACAAGCGGUCCAUUUCCUAGACACUACUGUGCUAAUAAACGAUGGUCACAUAAACACCAUCCUAUACCGGAAACCUACUGACUGCAAUACUUACCUACAUGCCUCCAGCUUCCAUCCAGGUCACACCACACAAUCCAUUGUCUACAGCCAAGCCCUAAGAUACAACCGCAUUUGCUCCAAUCCCUUAGACAGAGACAAACACCUACAAGAUCUCUAUCAAGCAUUCUUACAACUACACUACCCACCUGGGGAAGUGAAAAAACAGAUUGACAGAUCCAGAAGAGU
RNAcentral lists this long non-coding RNA (1012 nucleotides) under Chrysemys picta bellii (western painted turtle). RNAcentral's name for it is "lncRNA (ENSCPBG00000001649.1)". The record is from RNAcentral. Lineage: Eukaryota; Metazoa; Chordata; Testudines; Emydidae.